Molecule: long non-coding RNA, 1178 nt
Filed under: Sus scrofa (pig)
Lineage: Eukaryota; Metazoa; Chordata; Mammalia; Artiodactyla; Suidae
Description: lncRNA (ENSSSCG00050066250.1)
Source: RNAcentral
AGGCGCUGCGCGGCGGCCUCCUCGGCUGCCACCCUGCCGCUGUCCAGCUCCAGGCGCUGAGGCGGCCCGGCAUCGUUCUAAACGCUUCGCCAACCUUAACUCGGGGCACUGUCGUGACAGCCUGUGCUGCGUUCACUAUCAGUAUCCCCCACACACAGGCUGAGGGACCCAGGCCAGAGGCCCUGCUCCCUGUCCAGUCUCACGCAUAAAGUAAGCUGCUGAGCUGCGGACAGAAGCUGAGAUUGCCUUGUUCCAUGAUGCUGUAAAGAUGCUGCUCUGUGCCGGGUGCUGGUCCCCAGCGUUGCCUCCGCUCAGCACCCAGCAGCCCCACAAGGGUGUCAACAGAGCAUCAGGAGGCACUGACCCCAGAGCCCCUCCACGUCCCCGGGAACGGCCGGCCCCCCGUCGCCGCCGAGGGCCCUCGGCCAGGAUGGACAGCCAGGGGAAGGCUGCUUGUCUCCACGCCUCUCCGACGGCUCUUCUUCCGGCCCCUCCAGCCCAGGUGGAAUCCUUGAAGCUGGAGUCAGGACUGCCGGGCUUGCGGAGACGUGGGCUCCCCAGGAAGUGCUGAGCCCAUGAUCAGAGCUGCACCCCCACAAGAAGUCACCAUGUGGAUCCCCAGAGGGGAUACUCCGGAAGUGCUUCCAUUCGGCCACCAGCAGCUGUGAUGUCCCCUGACCGUGCAUCCUGGGUCCCAGGGGAUGGUGGGUAGGGGAGCCAGGCGAGGAAGUGAGUCACAGCCCUGUGGGGUGAGCUCCCCGAGGGGAAGGGAUUGCGUAGAGUACUUGGGGGAAUUUGUGAGCCUUCAAGCUGGCCUCUGCUGCGACAGGGGCCAGCAGCCUCGUCCGCUCUGUAGUCCACUCCGGCUGCUCCCUGUAGCCAGGGGUGCGGCAUGGCAGGAACAGGCCACAGGGCAAGGGAGGAGUGUGGUGGGCUCAGAAGGCUCUGGGGAGAGGGUGCCUUGCUCCUGGUGCUGAAAGGACAGCGCCCGGCUUGGGCAGAGGCCGCGCCAAGUCCUGGCGGAAGCUUUUCCGCAAACUGGAGUGGGGCGUCAUGUGCAUCUGAAUUUUUCCACUCCUCUUCUCUGGAGCCUGUCAGUGCCGUCUUGGCAAAGAUGGUUUGAGCCUGAAAGCUUUUCCCAUCUAUUUUUAAAUAAAUGGAAUUCCUGUCACUUGCAU